Molecule: ribosomal RNA, 506 nt
Filed under: uncultured bacterium
Lineage: Bacteria
Description: partial 16S ribosomal RNA
Rfam family: Bacterial small subunit ribosomal RNA
Source: RNAcentral
AUUGAACGCUGGCGGCAGGCUUAACACAUGCAAGUCGAGCGGUAACAGAGAGAAGCUUGCUUCUCUGCUGACGAGCGGCGGACGGGUGAGUAAUGCCUAGGAAUCUGCCUAGUAGUGGGGGAUAACUUGCCGAAAGGUAAGCUAAUACCGCAUACGUCCUACGGGAGAAAGGAGGGGACCUUCGGGCCUUUCGCUAUUAGAUGAGCCUAGGUCGGAUUAGUUAGUUGGUGAGGUAAUGGCUCACCAAGACCGCGAUCCGUAACUGGUCUGAGAGGAUGAUCAGUCACACUGGAACAGAGACACGGGCCAGACUCAUACGGGAGGCAGAAGUGGGGAAUAUUGGACAAUGGGGGGAACCCUGAUCCAGCCAUGCCGCGUGUGUGAAGAAGGUCUUAGGAUUGUAAAGCACUUUAAGUUGGGAGGAAGAGCAGUUAACUAAUAUUUGACUGUUUUGACGUUACCGACAGAGUAAGCACCGGCUAACUUCGUGCCAGCCGCCGCCGUAA